GCUAAACGCGAAGAACCUUACCUGGCCUUGACAUGUCCGGAAUUCUGCAGAGAUGCGGAAGUGCCUUCGGGAAUCGGAACACAGGUGCUGCAUGGCUGUCGUCAGCUCGUGUCGUGAGAUGUUGGGUUAAGUCCCGCAACGAGCGCAACCCUUGUCCUUAGUUGCCAGCGAGUAAUGCCGGGAACUCUAAGGAGACUGCCGGUGACAAACCGGAGGAAGGUGGGGAUGACGUCAAGUCCUCAUGGCCCUUACGGCCAGGGCUACACACGUACUACAAUGGUCGGUACAGAGGGUUGCCAAACCGCAAGGUGGAGCCAAUCCCAGAAAGCCGAUCCCAGUCCGGAUCGGAGUCUGCAACUCGACUCCGUGAAGUCGGAAUCGCUAGUAAUCGCGGAUCAGCUAUGCCGCGGUGAAUACGUUCCCGGGUCUUGUACACACCG
This 440-nucleotide ribosomal RNA is filed under the name uncultured bacterium. RNAcentral's name for it is "bacterial SSU rRNA". It matches the Rfam family "Bacterial small subunit ribosomal RNA", at positions 954 to 1392 of the family's 1533-position model. The record is from RNAcentral.